AAUACAUUUAUAGACGGUAAUUUGAAAUCCAUUGAUGAUGAAAACAAGAAAGUUCUUGAAAUAGGAGUUGAAGCAUUGACAACCUAUAUACAACAGAUGCACAUUGAACUGUGGAAGCAUGUGUCCAAAUAGUUGGGAUCCGAGUCCAUGUCUAAUUGGUUGAAUAAAAUGAGGCUAGGAUUCCUACACAAUUACAAGGGUUGGUAUAGAAUACUGACAAGUGAAGUGACAGCUAUAUUGGAGUUGCACAUAUCCCGUGUAAAGUUUGAUUUCUUGGUAGAGACCCAUGCAACCAUUUGUGAAGAGUUCAGAAGACUUCCUGGUCCAGGAUAACUUUGCUGUUGUUCAUCAAAAAGUUCAGCUGACAAAUUUCCAUUUGGAAACUCAAAAAUGUGUUAUCCCUUUAUACUAAGAGAGUAUUGUCAAGUUAGACAUCAACCCCAUUGCUUUUUUUAACUUCUGUUAAAUCAUAAUAUACAUGUCUUGUAGAUUAAAACAUUUCUUUUCAUGACUUUAUAAAUUUUAUAAGAUAGAUAGAUGAUCACUUGAAGACCUGUGUACAAUUUUAAGCAGUGUG
This is a long non-coding RNA of Saccostrea cuccullata (small rock oyster), 577 nucleotides long. RefSeq lists it as uncharacterized. The transcript is spliced from 3 exons. The record is from RefSeq and is a predicted model, not a curated record. Lineage: Eukaryota; Metazoa; Mollusca; Bivalvia; Ostreida; Ostreidae.